RNAcentral lists this unclassified non-coding RNA (247 nucleotides) under Hevea brasiliensis (rubber tree). The record is from RNAcentral. Lineage: Eukaryota; Viridiplantae; Streptophyta; Magnoliopsida; Malpighiales; Euphorbiaceae.
GUGCAAGUUAUUUAGCUUCAACCUGUAAAUUCAAGAGAGUCGUUAGAGGAAUUCAUGAAGCAAAAGCAAAAAUCUAUCUGAUGAAAAAUAUAAAUAUCCUGUGAGAAGAUACGAAAGUAUCACGGGAAAAGGUCAAUAAAAAUGAGAAUCAAAAGCAAAGCAUGAGGAGGAAUUAGAGUUUUAUUUGGUAAGGAACCAGCAGACAUGGAAAGAUUACACGGAGAGAUUGAUUAAAUUUUGGGGUUCG